RNAcentral lists this ribosomal RNA (253 nucleotides) under uncultured bacterium. Its description in RNAcentral is "partial 16S ribosomal RNA". It matches the Rfam family "Bacterial small subunit ribosomal RNA", at positions 524 to 776 of the family's 1533-position model. The record is from RNAcentral.
UACGUAGGGUGCAAGCGUUGUCCGGAAUUAUUGGGCGUAAAGAGCUCGUAGGCGGUUUGUUGCGUCGGCUGUGAAAUCCCGAGGCUCAACCUCGGGUCUGCAGUCGAUACGAGCAAACUAGAGUGUUGCAGGGGAGACUGGAAUUCCUGGUGUAGCGGUGAAAUGCGCAGAUAUCAGGAGGAACACCGGUGGCGAAGGCGGUUCUCUGGGCCUUACCUGACGCUGAGGAGCGAAAGCGUGGGGAGCGAACAGG